GUGCCCCUUUUCCCCCGCCCCCCCGCGGCUCAGGCCGCCGCGGCGCCGGCGCCUCCUCCCUUCUCUCCCCCCCUCCCCGCUCCCCUCCUCCGCCCACGGGUCGGGGAUCCCUCCGCGGUGUGGCCCAGCCGGAUCUAGCCUCACGCGUUGGAAGCUUCAAGAGAAGGCGCAGGGAGGCGCGGAGGUUGUCUCCGCGCUUGGCCGGCGGCUGGGCUGGCUUCUGCCGCGCUUAGUCGAGGCAGGCCGAGCGGUGGCCGUGACUGACAAGAGGCCGCGGCGCUGUGGCGGCGGAGGGAUGACUGAGGGGAGCUGAUGUUUGGGAGCCGGAGUGAUUCCUCUUCGGGGGAGACGCGCUCCUCCGGUCUCUUCCCGCCCCCACCCCGGCAGGCGGCUCACUCAGGAGGGGGAAGGGGACCCGCAUCCUGCUCGAAUGGGGUGUUUCGAGUUCCAUAGAGUUCCAUGGGAUAUUUGUGUACGUCUAUGAUUGCAGCUUUAUACACGAUGGGGAAGAGUUCAGGAACCUGAAGACUAGGUCCACUUCAUACAUUCACAUGAAACCCUCAUCUGGAGAGGAUUAGAAAACUGGAAGAUGAAAGAUGGAAGUGGAUAUAAUCAAGAGAACAACUAUAGGUUGGGUGAGAAGGAAUAAAGAAUUGACAGGCCUGCUUCUUCUCUUAGGUCCAACUACAAUGAUACAAAAACAAUGAUUAAGAAUGUUGCAAAGAUAAAUUUAAGCACACAACACAGUCUUAAGAAUAGCUUUACACAGAUUAGAUAUUUUUAAAAACAAGCUCCAACCAUCCACUAUAUACAGAGGCCAACAUUCUGUUCAGUAGAAUGUUGGCUCUUUCAAGUUGUGCAGCAGCCCUGGUGGGUCCCCAACACCAAUGUUCCACUGUGAGAUUUCUGCUGGUGUCAGGAGUCCUAAACAUUAACCCCCCACCCAGGGGCGUAACUACUAUUAGGCAAGGGGAGGCGGCUGCCUGGGGGCCCCCACGCCUCAAGGCCCCCCCCCAGAGGCAAGUCACAUGACUAUAUAUUGUGAAGUGUGUGUGUGUGUGUGUGUAUCAGCGAGGGGCCCAUUUUAAAAUUUUGUCUCUGGGCCCACUCCAGCCUCAUUACGCCCCCACCCUAUGCAAUCAGUAGGGUUGUUCCUGCGAUACAACACAAUUCUGCACGUACAAACUUGGGAGUUUUUUUGAAAUUAGUAGGGCCAUGUUCACACAUGCCACUUAGAGCAUUCUUCAGUCUCCUGCUGUUGAUGUGUGUGUAUGAAAAACAGAAAUAAAUAUACUUCUAUCAGGUCUUGUAAUUAAUGGAUGACAGUGCAGGAAGGUGAGCUUACAAUUGCAUUUCAAGCUUCCUCCAUUUGUUGUCUUGCCUGUGAAUAAGUGCUCUUUCUUAGUCUUCUAGCCCCCCUUUUUUUUUCAAGAGAAGUGUGUAUAUUUGGAGAAGGUCUCUUUUAUAUAUUUUAUUUUUAUAUUUUAAUUUCCCAUCCCUGUAUAUAAGUGUCACUAUUCACAGGAACGAGGGGAGAAGAAAAGAUGCAGCUGAGGAAGGAAAUCCUGAUUCUCGAACUGGAAGUCGAAGGCAGUUGCUACAUACCCCUGGUACUGGCUCUGCUUUAUAUUGUAUCUAUUAUAUAUUUUGAAGAAUUGGUUGGUUUUUGCAAUUAAGUUCCCGAUGACCUACAGACACCAAAUUUUGCAUACACAAUCCUGCCCCUGAAAUUAGUUUAAUGCACUACUUUUUACACUGGAAUAUGUUUGAUGGAGAUUUUUUAAAAAAUUAAAGAAGAAAUUCUGAAUAUCAUACUUCCACGUUACCUACAGGUACCACAUUUUGCAUAAACAAUCCAGCAACUGAAAUUAUCUGAAUGCUCUGCUUUUUAACAUGGAAUAUGCUGGGUGAAAGGUUUAAAUAAUAUUUUUGUUACUUUUAAAAUAAGAAAUUCUGAAUAUAAUAAUCAUAUUUUAACUGUUACAGUUCUCAGCAGAUUUUUAGUAAUCAGAUCAAUAAUUCAAAAAGGACAUCAUGUCCUAAAGAAGCAGAAGAUAUUUCUCAGAUCCAAACAAUGCCAACUCCAAAUAAAUGAUUAUCACCAGAGAGGUAGAAAAUAUUGAUUGAAGAUUCUUGUAUCUUCCUAUAAGUAUAAUCUAUGUAAAAUGAGUUUGCCUGGUCAACAACAGGUCUCACCUGCUUGCUUGCUUGCUUGCUUGCUUUAUUUAUUUAUCAAUCACAUUUAUAUACCACCCAAACUUUUGUCUCUGGGCGGUAUCUAUAUUUCUAUAUUAUCUAUAUUUCUAUAUCUAUAUAUUUACACACACACACACACACCACACACGUACAUACAGGGCUGGUUCACACAAUUACCUGCUAUGUCAGUUUCCUGGGAAUCUUUUUCUUCCAUAUCCAUGACCAUGUAACAGAAAACCUACGUAUUAGUUGUCAGUUCUCAUGCCCUUUAAACGUUUUAUGUUUUGUUGUUUAGAACGGAGAGGGACAGGAGCUAGAUUGGGAUCUACUACUAAAUCUUUGGGUGAUUUAUCUGCAAAGGUUUCUGACUCUCGAUUAUUUAAAAAUAGCUGCCCUUCAUUCUAAGUGUAUGCCCAAGCCCCAGAGCCUCUGUCAAAGUAGGCCCCACAUGCAUGAAGUCUGUCCACUACUGGUUUAAGAGACUACUCCAGCACUUCAGUAUGUACAUUUUUAAAAAGCUCACAAGGCUUGGGUCUGGGCUAUCUUAGAGAGCGCUUUCUGUAUGAUCCCCAUCACAUGUUGAGGUCAUCUGGAGAGGUCCAUCUCCAGUUAGCACCGAUACCUCUGGUGGCGACUUGGAGCCAGGCCUUCUCUGUAGCUGCUCCUGGCCUAUGGAAUGCACUCCCAGCAGAUAUCUGUAAUUUAGGCUCAUUGUUGGCCUUUAAGAGAGCCCUAAAAACUUACUUGGUUGGCUUGGCCUUUAAAGGUUUUUAAAUUGUUUUAAAGCAUUUCAAUUGGUUUUUAAAUAGCUCUGAAUUGUUUUAAACUUGUUUUUAUAUUGUUUUAAGCAGUGUGUUUUUGAAUGGUGUUUGUUUUAAUGUUUUUUAAAAUUUGUUGUGCCAGAGCCUUUGGAUGGGGCGGUCUAGAAAUGCAAUAAAUAAAUAAUGAAUAUUAAUAAAUAAGACACUGUAAAGGUGAAGUUGGUAAAAGGAGAGAGUGGCAGGUAAACAGGUAGUGCCGAAAAGUGAGGUAACGCACAUUUUAUGAAAUUGCAUCCAAGUCUAGUUACAAGGCAUCAAGGACCAAUGUACAAACUGGAGUAGUUAAGUGGGGAAAUUCUUCUCCCACGCUAGCUGGAAACUGUGUGGCAACAUUUAAGCCAAGCAAAUCAUAACUUGUGACUGGUGGUAAUGCACUUUAACUAAAGUGGGGAAAUAUUCCCAAAUUAUAAUUAAAGUGGUUUUAAAAAUCAUGUGUAAUUUUGGCCUAAAAGCCUUUCUAUUUAAAAAAAAAGAGUGUGGGUUUUGUUUUGUAGUGCUGCAGGCUUUAAUUAGUAGAUUAAUCAACCAAAGCUUUGGUCAACAUUGAAGAGGGUCAUUUUUAAUUGGUGGACAUGUGGAUUAAGGGUAUACUUGUUCAUGUUCAGGAGAUUACAGUUCUGUUUUGUUACUGCCAUAGAGGAUGGAAAACAAAAUAUUUCACAGUAGUCUGUUAACCCUGUCUUAACUUUUCUGGAUCAAAUUAUAAGACAUCUCAUUCUUCCUUGAAAGGAACCUCUAUCAAGGUGUUGGUAGUACUGUAUGUAUAUAUAUUUACAUUUCAGACAACUGAUUUGUUAAAAGGCAGAGUCUUUUAACAACUUUCUUCUUAUAAAAAGUCUUUUCUUAUACAAAGAGCUGUUGCUCUGGUGUGGUGGUUCUGAGUUCCUGCUUUUUGAGGUGAUGAUUUAGUUUAGCUUUCUUCCCUUUUUGUUAGCUGUGAGGGACUCUUGGCUGAGUCCCAGCUGCAUAGCUCCAGAGAGCAUGCAGAGAUCGCCAUGAGGCAAGCUUUAAUUUCGGAACUUCAAGCUAACAACUAAGAUCUUUUAGCCUCCUGCCUAACACCAGGCAGGAUAAAAGGUAAACACUAGGCAGGAUGAAAGGACAUUUUGGAAUACUUACUAUUGUACAUCUUUUAAUGCCUGUAAACUGCCUCUUCAUAAACUGCUUCUUUAUAUUUACUUAAAUAAACUAGAUUUUAAAAUUCUUG
Molecule: long non-coding RNA, 4224 nt
Organism: Hemicordylus capensis (graceful crag lizard)
Lineage: Eukaryota; Metazoa; Chordata; Lepidosauria; Squamata; Cordylidae
Exons: 2
Source: RefSeq, a predicted model, not a curated record